UACAGAGGUCUCAAGCGUUGUUCGGAUUCAUUGGGCGUAAAGGGUGUGUAGGUGGCGCGCUAAGUCGGGUGUGAAAUUUCGGAGCUUAACUCCGAAACUGCAUUUGAUACUGCGGUGCUUGAGGACUGGAGAGGAGACUGGAAUUCACGGUGUAGCAGUGAAAUGCGUAGAUAUCGUGAGGAAGACCAGUGGCGAAGGCGGGUCUCUGGACAGUUCCUGACACUGAGGCACGAAGGCCAGGGGAGCAAACGGGG
Molecule: ribosomal RNA, 254 nt
Filed under: uncultured bacterium
Lineage: Bacteria
Description: partial 16S ribosomal RNA
Rfam family: Bacterial small subunit ribosomal RNA
Source: RNAcentral